Long non-coding RNA from Vicia villosa (hairy vetch), 673 nucleotides. RefSeq lists it as uncharacterized. Lineage: Eukaryota; Viridiplantae; Streptophyta; Magnoliopsida; Fabales; Fabaceae. The record is from RefSeq and is a predicted model, not a curated record. The transcript is spliced from 5 exons.
UCAUCGUGUAUGUAUUGAUAAUUCCACAUCAGAAGUAUAUGGAAUUAUGGACCCUGCUAUGUGUAUAUAUGUUGAUACUGUGACGAAAACUCAAGCAGGUGUUAAAAAAUACAUACAAGAUAAGUUAGAGAGGGAAAAUAGAGUGUGUCACUUACUACCACUUAUUCAUGGACGACAUUGGCAAUUAAUUGUCAUGUUUCCGAGAGAAUAUUGUGGUCGUCUUUUGUUCACUUCAUCGGGAAAUUGAUGAAAUCACGAAGAAAAUUGUUACAAAACAAGGAAACAACAUAACUCUAAUGAUUGUGGGUACUAUGUGAUGAGAAAUAUGUUGGAUAUUGUCUCUGUCAAUAUAACCGAGUCUUGGAUGCAGGUAUUUGAUGACCCUACCGAAUUAACACAAGAUGAUUUGUAUGAUUUACGACUCCGUUGGGCAAAAUGUUUCUUUGAGUUAUAUAAAGAUUAAGCUUUAUCUGCAAAUGUGAUUUUGGUGUUGUCUUCAGAAGCUACAACUCAUCUUCUCGUGGAUGCAUGUUGGUAUUUCAAGUGCGGGAAAGGACUUAUAAAUUGUUGUAUAUUUGUUGUUUUGUUAUUGUUUUGGUAGUCCAUCGUGUGUAAACUUUCUUAUAAUUUUGUACACUUAUGUGUAUCCUAGAUUAAUACUUUUGUAAAUCAA